Coffea arabica (coffee) is the source of this 1254-nucleotide non-coding RNA. NCBI's taxonomy places the organism in Eukaryota, Viridiplantae, Streptophyta, Magnoliopsida, Gentianales, Rubiaceae. The record is from RefSeq and is a predicted model, not a curated record.
AAAUAAAGGAGAAAAUUGGUAAAAACUUAAAGCUUGAUGCAAACAUUCUUCAUCAUCCACUCCAAACUCCAGUGGUUGAUGACAUUUUUAAGAGUCCAAUGAGCCUGUUGAUGACUACAACCCUUUGGUAAUCUUCUUUUGUGUCCUAUUGCAACCCUUUGACAAUUAUGCUACUGCUACCCAUUCACCUAAAAAAACAAGCCAAAAAUGAAGAUACCAAUCACUAGCUUUUAAAUUGCUCUAUUACUUAAUGAAAACUAGCACUUUUAUUAUUAGACUUAUUCCUGACAACUAAGCCUGGGAGUGGCCUUCUGAUUAAUCCUCCCACUUCUGAAGCAAAUGCACUCAAAGAAUGGUACGUAUGUUCUUUCAUCAUUUAAGUUAAACUUUUCUAGAUCCUUUUGAUAAAUUAUAGUCUGUUGCAUUAAUUUUUUGGAUAGGUAUAAUGCAAAUAAAGAAGAAAUUGCAGAGUUGAUACAACAAAUGGCAUACAAAGAUUCAUCUAAGUUGUUGCCACCUCCAAGUGCUAAUGACAUGAUUAGUGUAGCCAAUGCACUUAACACACUCAAAGAUGUGAAAACAACUUGGAUAAUAAGAAAAAUCAGUUUGACCCCUGGGCAAUAAAAAUUCUGGUUUGAAGCAUGUGAGAACUGCCAAAAGGCUAUCAAUGUUGACGUAUGAUGGGUUAUGAGAUGCUCAUCUUGCAAAGAAGAGAGCAAAGUUGUAGCAAGGACCCGAAUUGGGAUUACUAUGGAUGAUAGUACGGGCUCCAUAAACACUAUUAUCUUUGACCUUGAUGCUGAAAAGCUUAUCCCAUUUACAGUGCUUCAAUUUUGGGAAGCUCAUAAUGAGUGAGUAGAACGAAAAUAUCAUAACAAGUGCCAAUUUGACAAUCGUUAGAAAGGAGUUCAAUUAGCAAGUGUCCAGGGGUAUUUUUGGAAUAUCAAGACGCGACCCAUUUUGGUAAUUUGCGAAAGACAGCACUGGAAAAAAGGAACAAAAGACCGAAGUCUUCCUUACCGUUGGGGGGCGCCGCACAAUAACUAGGCAUUAGAGUAGAAGCAUCAAAUAGGAAAUAGGAAUAGCAGGGAACUAGCACUAAUGGAGAUUUAGCUUUUGACUUUUCUUCGCAUAGGCUCUUGGUAGCUUUAUUCACUUGUAUGUCAAGACCAAUUGAAACAUUGAAUGAUUCUCUGUGACUUCGCUUUUCGUCAACAUUCGAUGAGUUGAAUUUGCCAAAUUCCCAAGACAAUG